RNAcentral lists this ribosomal RNA (492 nucleotides) under uncultured bacterium. RNAcentral describes it as "partial 16S ribosomal RNA". It matches the Rfam family "Bacterial small subunit ribosomal RNA", at positions 29 to 507 of the family's 1533-position model. The record is from RNAcentral.
AGUGAACGCUGGCGGUAGGCCUAACACAUGCAAGUCGAACGGCAGCACAGUAAGAGCUUGCUCUUACGGGUGGCGAGUGGCGGACGGGUGAGGAAUACAUCGGAAUCUACUUUUUCGUGGGGGAUAACGUAGGGAAACUUACGCUAAUACCGCAUACGACCUACGGGUGAAAGCAGGGGAUCUUCGGACCUUGCGCGUUUGACUGAGCCGAUGUCGGAUUAGCUAGUUGGCGGGGUAAAGGCCCACCAAGGCGACGAUCCGUAGCUGGUCUGAGAGGAUGAUCAGCCACACUGGAACUGAGACACGGUCCAGACUCCUACGGGAGGCAGCAGUGGGGAAUAUUGGACAAUGGGCGCAAGCCUGAUCCAGCCAUACCGCGUGGGUGAAGAAGGCCUUCGGGUUGUAAAGCCCUUUUGUUGGGAAAGAAAAGCAGCAGGUUAAUACCCCGCUGUUCUGACGGUACCCAAAGAAUAAGCACCGGCUAACUUCGUG